GACGAACGCUGGCGGCGUGCUUAACACAUGCAAGUCGAACGGAAAGGCCCUGCUUUUGUGGGGUGCUCGAGUGGCGAACGGGUGAGUAACGCGUGAGUAACCUGCCCUUGACUUUGGGAUAACUUCAGGAAACUGGGGCUAAUACCGGAUAGGAGCUCCUGCUGCAUGGUGGGGGUUGGAAAGUUUCGGCGGUUGGGGAUGGACUCGCGGCUUAUCAGCUUGUUGGUGGGGUAGUGGCUUACCAAGCGUUUGACGGGUAGCCGGCCUGAGAGGGUGACCGGCCACCUUGGGACUGAGGUACGGCCCAGACUCCUACGGGAGGCAGCAGUGGGGAAUAUUGCACAAUGGGCGGAAGCCCGAUGCAGCAACGCCGCGUGCGGGAUGACGGCCUUCGGGUUGUAAACCGCUUUCGCCUGUGACGAAGCGUGAGUGACGGUAAUGGGUAAAGAAGCACCGGCUAACUACGUG
This 468-nucleotide ribosomal RNA is filed under the name uncultured bacterium. Its description in RNAcentral is "partial 16S ribosomal RNA". It matches the Rfam family "Bacterial small subunit ribosomal RNA", at positions 28 to 507 of the family's 1533-position model. The record is from RNAcentral.